Molecule: long non-coding RNA, 1011 nt
Filed under: Scophthalmus maximus (turbot)
Lineage: Eukaryota; Metazoa; Chordata; Actinopteri; Pleuronectiformes; Scophthalmidae
Description: lncRNA (ENSSMAG00000021528.1)
Source: RNAcentral
AUGGAUUUUAUUGACUGGUGUUUGGAUCCUGGUGAUCAGAGUUUGAAUCUGAUAUUUGAUGACGAGGAUCAGCUGAUCUCAGGUUCUGUUCAGUUUAACCCUGAUUUCAUCUGGAAUCUGUGGUUUCACUUCUUUACAGAGUGGAACUGUACAACCCAAAACAUCCACAAAGAUCCAAAACAUCCACAAAGAUCCAAAACAACCACAAAGACCCAGAACGUCUACAAAGAUCCAAAACAACCACAAAGACCCAGAACGUCUACAAAGACCCAAAACAACCACAAAGACCCAAAACAACCACAAGACCCAAAACGUCCACAAAGACCCAGAACGUCUACAAAGACCCAAAACAACCACAAAGACCCAAAACAACCACAAGACCCAAAACGUCCACAAAGACCCAGAACGUCUACAAAGACCCAAAACAACCACAAAGACCCAAAACAACCACAAGACCCAAAACGUCCACAAAGACCCAGAACGUCUACAAAGACCCAAAACAACCACAAAGACCCAAAACAACCACAAGACCCAAAACGUCCACAAAGACCCAGAACGUCUACAAAGACCCAAAACAACCACAAAGACCCAAACCAUCCACAAGAACCAGAACGUGCACAAAGACCCAAAACAACCACAAGACACAAAACAACCACAAAGACCCAGAACGUCUACAAAGAUCCAAAACAACCACAAGACCCAAAAUGUCCACAAAGACCCAGAACGUCCACAAAGACCCAGAACAUCCACAAAGACCCAGAACGUCUACAAAGACCCAAAACGUCCACAAGACCCAAAACAACCACAAAGACACAGAAUGUCUACAAAGACCCAAAACAACCACAAAGACCCAGAACGUCUACAAAGACCCAGAACAACCACAAGUGUUUAGUUGCUAUAACAGCCUGGAACAGCCUGGAACAGUUCAAGGGCCUGAGAGCAGUUGAAAUCUUUUACCACAGUUUUAAACGUCUCUCUUCAGUCCGGCUUCUGAUCACAUGUGGUUUAUAA